RNAcentral lists this ribosomal RNA (497 nucleotides) under uncultured bacterium. Its description in RNAcentral is "partial 16S ribosomal RNA". It matches the Rfam family "Bacterial small subunit ribosomal RNA", at positions 28 to 507 of the family's 1533-position model. The record is from RNAcentral.
GAUGAACGCUGGCGGCGUGCCUAAUACAUGCAAGUCGAGCGAACAGACGAGGAGCUUGCUCCUUUGACGUUAGCGGCGGACGGGUGAGUAACACGUGGGUAACCUCCCUAUAAGACUGGGAUAACUUCGGGAAACCGGAGCUAAUACCGGAUAAUAUUUCGAACCGCAUGGUUCGAUAGUGAAAGAUGGCUUUGCUAUCACUUAUAGAUGGACCUGCGCCGUAUUAGCUAGUUGGUAAGGUAACGGCUUACCAAGGCAACGAUACGUAGCCGACCUGAGAGGGUGAUCGGCCACACUGGAACUGAGACACGGUCCAGACUCCUACGGGAGGCAGCAGUAGGGAAUCUUCCGCAAUGGGCGAAAGCCUGACGGAGCAACGCCGCGUGAGUGAUGAAGGUCUUCGGAUCGUAAAACUCUGUUAUUAGGGAAGAACAAACGUGUAAGUAACUGUGCACGUCUUGAUGGUACCUAAUCAGAAAGCCACGGCUAACUACGUG